GCUCAGAUUGAACGCUGGCGGCAUGCUUUACACAUGCAAGUCGAACGGUAACAGGUCUUCGGAUGCUGACGAGUGGCGAACGGGUGAGUAAUACAUCGGAACGUGCCUAGUAGUGGGGGAUAACUACUCGAAAGAGUAGCUAAUACCGCAUGAGAUCUACGGAUGAAAGCAGGGGACCUUCGGGCCUUGUGCUACUAGAGCGGCUGAUGGCAGAUUAGGUAGUUGGUGGGGUAAAGGCUUACCAAGCCUGCGAUCUGUAGCUGGUCUGAGAGGACGACCAGCCACACUGGGACUGAGACACGGCCCAGACUCCUACGGGAGGCAGCAGUGGGGAAUUUUGGACAAUGGGCGAAAGCCUGAUCCAGCAAUGCCGCGUGCAGGAUGAAGGCCCUCGGGUUGUAAACUGCUUUUGUACGGAACGAAAAGCCUGGGGCUAAUAUCCCCGGGUCAUGACGGUACCGUAAGAAUAAGCACCGGCUAACUACGUGCCAGCAGCCGCGGUAAUACGUAGGGUGCAAGCGUUAAUCGGAAUUACUGGGCGUAAAGCGUGCGCAGGCGGUUUUGUAAGACAGUGGUGAAAUCCCCGGGCUCAACCUGGGAACUGCCAUUGUGACUGCAAGGCUAGAGUGCGGCAGAGGGGGAUGGAAUUCCGCGUGUAGCAGUGAAAUGCGUAGAUAUGCGGAGGAACACCGAUGGCGAAGGCAAUCCCCUGGGCCUGCA
This 720-nucleotide ribosomal RNA is filed under the name Comamonas sp. CCM-060. Its description in RNAcentral is "bacterial SSU rRNA". It matches the Rfam family "Bacterial small subunit ribosomal RNA", at positions 22 to 739 of the family's 1533-position model. Lineage: Bacteria; Pseudomonadati; Pseudomonadota; Betaproteobacteria; Burkholderiales; Comamonadaceae. The record is from RNAcentral.